GAGGCGAGGGCAGCAUGUGGCCUCUACCUGAACCAUCUGAGGGGGACACAGGAGCGAGGCGGGGGCUGGUGGAGCAGGGGGCUGGAGAGGGCUGGGGGCUCCAGGUACCGCGGUCAGAAGCCUCGUGUCAUCCUUGACUUGACUCCUUUCUCGCUCUCUCUCCACUCACAUCCAAACCUGGGACUUCUGCCCACCUCCGCGGCCCCGCCGGGUCCAGCCCAGCGUCGCCCUCCUGCCCCUGCUGUCGCGUCCGGCCUGGUCCCAGGCUCCUGGUCUCGCCUUGCGGUCUCUUCCCCCCUCGGCCCCCAGGGGGCGCAGGAGCCACAUGAGAGGAGAGGAGAUUGCAAUUUCUGCCGGAACUUUCUCACAUCCCCGCGUCUGGGGCAAGAAAGUGGCGGAGAGCUGGGGAGGAGCAGGAUGGAGGAGCCUGGGAGAGAGAACACAGGAGGAAAGACAGAGGCUGAAGAGGGAAGGAGCAGGUGGGGGAGUGAGCAGGAGGCAAGGACAAGAGUCACACGAAAAACGAGGGGUGGCAGCCGAGAAAGGCUGGAGGGGCCCCAGGGGGUCUGGAUGCCAGACCUCAGCCAGGGGCUCCUGCAGGGGCUGUACCUCUUCCGGAGCCCCUUCACCCACCCACAGAGUCCGACUGUAAUUGUCCAGCAAGGGCGGCUGGGUGGCUCGGUCGGUUAAGCGACUGACUCUCGGUUUCUGCUCAGGUCCCGAUCUCACGGCUCAUGGGAUCAAGCCCCGCCUUGGGCUCUGUGCUGACAGUGCGGAGCUGCUUGGGAUCCUCUCUCUCCACCGCCUCCCCCCACCCUGUUCCUCCCCUGCUCACUCUCUCAAGA
This 845-nucleotide long non-coding RNA is filed under the name Felis catus (domestic cat). Its description in RNAcentral is "lncRNA (ENSFCAG00000051815.1)". Lineage: Eukaryota; Metazoa; Chordata; Mammalia; Carnivora; Felidae. The record is from RNAcentral.